AUUUUUCUUUUUGAUUACAGAAAAACCUCAAAGGAAAUGCAGAAUGAGAUAGCAGCCUUGGGAACAGGAAACAGCCAACAAGAGGAGCAGAUGGGCAGCCAUGCAAAACCUCCCACUCAAAAGAUGUCCACGGUGAAGCUGACCCAGAAAUCAAUGACCGGCUACUUAAAAAAGAGCUCUUCCUGGCUUAGGAACUCUUCACAACUGUUUGGCAGGCUCUUACUAUGCUUUGGCUGCUCUUGUGUAGCACUGGUUCUAUAUUAUAGAUUUUUCUUUUGUGUUACCUGGAUAUGUUGGCUACUGAGAAGCAUCUCCCAUCAAUACUACAAAACUUGCUUUUGGCCACACUAACCCUAGAAGACUUUACGGACUCCAGACUGGGUUUCUGUAGAAUUACUGUAUUGUUUCUGGGGAGAUCUCAAAUUUAAAUAAAGCUUUCAUCAGUGCUAAAAGA
RNAcentral lists this long non-coding RNA (454 nucleotides) under Dromaius novaehollandiae (emu). RNAcentral's name for it is "lncRNA (ENSDNVG00000016342.1)". Lineage: Eukaryota; Metazoa; Chordata; Aves; Casuariiformes; Dromaiidae. The record is from RNAcentral.